CCUACGGGAGGCAGCAGUGGGGGAUAUUGCACAAUGGGGGAAACCCUGAUGCAGCGACGCCGCGUGGGCGAAGAAGUAUUUCGGUAUGUAAAGCCCUAUCAGCAGGGAAGAAGAACUGACGGUACCUGAGUAAGAAGCACCGGCUAACUACGUGCCAGCAGCCGCGGUAAUACGUAUGGUGCAAGCGUUAUCCGGAUGUAAUGGGUGGAAAGGGAGCGCAGGCGGCACGGCAAGCCUGAUGUGAAAGCCCGCGGCCCAACCGCGGGACUGCAUUGGGAACUACCGGGCUGGAGUGCCGGAGAGGUAGGCGGAAUUCCUAGUGUAGCGGUGAAAUGCGUAGAUAUUAGGAGGAACACCAGUGGCGAAGGCGGCCUACUGGACGGUGACUGACGCUGAGGCUCGAAAGCGUGGGGAGCAAACAGGAUUAGAUACCCUAGUAGUC
RNAcentral lists this ribosomal RNA (442 nucleotides) under uncultured bacterium. Its description in RNAcentral is "partial 16S ribosomal RNA". It matches the Rfam family "Bacterial small subunit ribosomal RNA", at positions 338 to 795 of the family's 1533-position model. The record is from RNAcentral.